This 660-nucleotide ribosomal RNA is filed under the name Roseovarius sp. RNAcentral describes it as "bacterial SSU rRNA". It matches the Rfam family "Bacterial small subunit ribosomal RNA", at positions 45 to 753 of the family's 1533-position model. Lineage: Bacteria; Pseudomonadati; Pseudomonadota; Alphaproteobacteria; Rhodobacterales; Roseobacteraceae. The record is from RNAcentral.
AGCGAGCUACCAUGCAGUCGAGCGAACCUUCGGGUUAGCGGCGGACGGGUGAGUAACGCGUGGGAACGUACCCUCUUCUGCGGGAUAGCCACUGGAAACGGUGAGUAAUACCGCAUACGCCCUUCGGGGGAAAGAUUUAUCGGAGGAGGAUCGGCCCGCGUUGGAUUAGGUAGUUGGUGGGGUAAUGGCCUACCAAGCCUACGAUCCAUAGCUGGUUUUAGAGGAUGAUCAGCCACACUGGGACUGAGACACGGCCCAGACUCCUACGGGAGGCAGCAGUGGGGAAUCUUAGACAAUGGGCGCAAGCCUGAUCUAGCCAUGCCGCGUGAGUGACGAAGGCCUUAGGGUCGUAAAGCUCUUUCGCCAGAGAUGAUAAUGACAGUAUCUGGUAAAGAAACCCCGGCUAACUCCGUGCCAGCAGCCGCGGUAAUACGGAGGGGGUUAGCGUUGUUCGGAAUUACUGGGCGUAAAGCGCACGUAGGCGGAUUGGAAAGUUGGGGGUGAAAUCCCAGGGCUCAACCCUGGAACUGCCUCCAAAACUCCCAGUCUGGAGUUCGAGAGAGGUGAGUGGAAUUCCGAGUGUAGAGGUGAAAUUCGUAGAUAUUCGGAGGAACACCAGUGGCGAAGGCGGCUCACUGGCUCGAUACUGACGCUGAGGUG